UGGGGAAUAUUGGACAAUGGGCGAAAGCCUGAUCCAGCGACGCCGCGUGGGUGAAGAAGGCCUUCGGGUUGUAAAGCCCUUUAAGCCGGGACGAAAAAAUCGGCGAUAACAUCGCCGGUCUUGACGGUACCGGAAGAAUAAGCACCGGCUAACUCUGUGCCAGCAGCCGCGGUAAUACAGAGGGUGCAAGCGUUAAUCGGAUUUACUGGGCGUAAAGCGUGAGUAGGUGGCUCGCUAAGUCGAUUGUGAAAGCCCUGGGCUCAACCUGGGAAUUGCAGUCGAUACUGGAGAGCUAGAGUUCGGUAGAGGGUGACGGAAUUCCCGGUGUAGCGGUGAAAUGCGUAGAUAUCGGGAGGAACAUCGAUGGCGAAGGCAAUCACCUGGGCCUGAACUGACACUGAGACACGAAAGCGUGGGUAGCAAACAGGAUUAGAUACCCCCGUAGUCC
RNAcentral lists this ribosomal RNA (448 nucleotides) under uncultured bacterium. RNAcentral's name for it is "bacterial SSU rRNA". It matches the Rfam family "Bacterial small subunit ribosomal RNA", at positions 355 to 796 of the family's 1533-position model. The record is from RNAcentral.